Molecule: ribosomal RNA, 814 nt
Filed under: uncultured Oxalobacteraceae bacterium
Lineage: Bacteria; Pseudomonadati; Pseudomonadota; Betaproteobacteria; Burkholderiales; Oxalobacteraceae
Description: bacterial SSU rRNA
Rfam family: Bacterial small subunit ribosomal RNA
Source: RNAcentral
UAGAGUUUGAUCCUGGCUCAGAUUGAACGCUGGCGGCAUGCCUUACACAUGCAAGUCGAACGGCAGCGCGGACUUCGGUCUGGCGGCGAGUGGCGAACGGGUGAGUAAUAUAUCGGAACGUACCCAGGAGUGGGGGAUAACGUAGCGAAAGUUACGCUAAUACCGCAUACGUCCUAAGGGAGAAAGUGGGGGAUCGCAAGACCUCAUGCUCAUGGAGCGGCCGAUAUCUGAUUAGCUAGUUGGUGGGGUAAAAGCCUACCAAGGCAACGAUCAGUAGCUGGUCUGAGAGGACGACCAGCCACACUGGAACUGAGACACGGUCCAGACUCCUACGGGAGGCAGCAGUGGGGAAUUUUGGACAAUGGGGGCAACCCUGAUCCAGCAAUGCCGCGUGAGUGAAGAAGGCCCUCGGGUUGUAAAGCUCUUUUGUCAGGGAAGAAAAGGCUCUAGCUAAUAUCUGGGGCUCAUGACGGUACCUGAAGAAUAAGCACCGGCUAACUACGUGCCAGCAGCCGCGGUAAUACGUAGGGUGCAAGCGUUAAUCGGAAUUACUGGGCGUAAAGCGUGCGCAGGCGGUUUUGUAAGACUGUCGUGAAAUCCCCGGGCUUAACCUGGGAAUGGCGAUGGUGACUGCAAGGCUAGAGUUUGGCAGAGGGGGGUAGAAUUCCACGUGUAGCAGUGAAAUGCGUAGAUAUGUGGAGGAACACCGAUGGCGAAGGCAGCCCCCUGGGUCAAAACUGACGCUCAUGCACGAAAGCGUGGGGAGCAAACAGGAAUAGAUACCCUNNNAGUCCANNNNNNANNCGANNNCUAC